GUCUCUCAUACUGGCAACAAUUCUUUCACUCAAAAAAAUAAAAUAAAACUUUUAGGGACAUAUGGCUUUUUUUCCACCUCCAGGUUUCAAAUUUACUUGAAAACACCUACACAGAGUUGGAAGUUCCUAAAGUGUCAACAGCUGAAAUGUCCCAGGAACUGCGAACGCUUUUCAUGUAGAAUCAGAGAUGGAAAAUUACUGGAUUUAAAGAAUGAAGAAGAAGGACGGAGGGCUGAGCUCUCCGCUCAAGUGGGAACUGACCUCCGACCCAUGUCUGUCUGUGGUGAGUGUCACAGCCCUGCAGGAAGCAACCGGGACCUAACUGGCUGCUCCGUUGGACACCUGUGGACAGAAUCUAGAAAGAAGAGGCAAUAUACCAGCACCACAAACCUCCAGGACCAAUCCUAGAACUGGCUGUAGCUCAUUAUGUAGCUCAGAAAGUGCAAGAAAAUGAUUUUAACUUACUCCAAAAAUUUAAGAAGCCUCCUAGCACAUUUUUUUUCCUUGAGUGCCAAAGUUAUAAUCUUCACACAGAAAUAAGAAGGAAGCAUGAAGCAUAUCUGCUUCAUAACAUCCCAAAAUAUAUAAUGAAAAGCGUUGAAGUGUUUCUCAAAGAACACCUGAAUAAUUUCUGAAUAAAUUAAUGGUGAAUUUAAGAAUAAUCUCCCUGAGACAUUGAAGAAUGGGAAGGGGAUUAUUUUCUGGCCUUGAAUUUUGGUUCUAAGAGGUAACUAUAAUUUUAUUUCUGCCUGUGUUUUGAUUCGUAUGAGUAUCCAAAGCCCUGACAUUUGCUUUGAGAAACUUCCAUGCUGCAAAAAAUAGACUGCAGUCCGAGUUCACCUCGGCAGUUUUUGCAUAAAGGCCUUGUGGCUGUGUGGACCACAGUUAUAUAUUAAUAGGCUUUGGUGUAAUUCCAGAGCUGAAAUCCACUAAGAAAUGGCAACAAAAAAAACUAUAUAACUUUCCAUCAGUUCCGACUCGGCUUGGCCUCAGAUACUGUUUUAUGAACAAUCUAAACAUCUUAUCACAUCAAUUCACAGACACCAGGGUCUCUGGGCCUGUCUACUUCUUGAGGCACAGCAGUUUAGAUAGAAAUGAUUCCUAUGGAGCAUGGAGGUGGAAAGUGGAUGGAAUGCUGCUCCAUCAGAUCAAGAUUUGCAUCACGAUCGAUUAGCUGAGUUCCCCUAGCAAGACUGUGCCCCUGGGCUUAACUAUUCCCAUCUCGAAACUGGGAAUAGUAAAUAAAACCGACAUCAUAGAGGAAAACCUUUUUUUUUUUAGAGUGGAAGCAAGGGCACAUGAACACUGAGUUCUUUUCCUUUCUCCAUGCAUCCUGUGCAAGAUUUAAAAGGAAGUGGUGACCAGUUUACAGACCGAGUUAAUCUUGAUGUGGCCAUUUAGAAUUCAUAUUCUGUCUCUUAAAGUACAAGGACUUCUUGAACUACAACUCUCCACUGGCUUUCAUAACAUUCAGCCUGCAAAUCAGGAAAGAUCGGCCUGCCAAGCAUUUAUAGCCACCUUCAACUGUGAUCAUUAGAUGUAGGCUACACUGGACCCAUUCAGCUCAGUGUUUACUCUUUAAUAUUGCUGCUUAGGGAAAGGCUGACAUGGGUGCUUUUGAUGACAACAUGAUCAAAGGCAAGGUGUUUCUCCUACAUACCUCCGAACUACUAAGGGCUGCCCGGGUCCCAGUCCAUGAAUACAGCACAUCUUAUCUUCUUGUAAUCAUCUUGGUCUUUGUUUUACUAAUGUUAGAUAUGCUGCUCAAAAUCUUUGCCUAUUGACCUCAGCUUCAAAUCUCUUUCUCCUAUCACCAAACAAAAUACCUUAUAGUCCUGACCAGGACCCUCACAAAGGUCUUGACCACCUAUUUUUUUUCUCCCAGAAAACACAUUUGGAUAUUCACGAGACAGGAGCCACAGUGGCUCUUACUCAAAUGACAUGUCCAGUUUAUCAUCCUUUUAGUAUCAAAGUUUUUCGGCA
Long non-coding RNA from Neofelis nebulosa (Clouded leopard), 1983 nucleotides. RefSeq lists it as uncharacterized. NCBI's taxonomy places the organism in Eukaryota, Metazoa, Chordata, Mammalia, Carnivora, Felidae. The transcript is spliced from 3 exons. The record is from RefSeq and is a predicted model, not a curated record.